Molecule: ribosomal RNA, 253 nt
Filed under: uncultured bacterium
Lineage: Bacteria
Description: partial 16S ribosomal RNA
Rfam family: Bacterial small subunit ribosomal RNA
Source: RNAcentral
UACGUAGGGGGCAAGCGUUGUCCGGAAUCAUUGGGCGUAAAGAGCGUGUAGGCGGUCCGAUAAGUCGGUUGUGAAAGUCCAGGGCUCAACCCUGGGAUGCCGACCGAUACUGUCGGACUAGAGUUCGGAAGAGGCGAGUGGAAUUCCCGGUGUAGCGGUGAAAUGCGCAGAUAUCAGGAAGAACACCCGUGGCUAAGGCGGCUCUCUAGUACGGUACUGACGCUGAGACGCGAAAGCGUGGGGAGCGAACAGG